RNAcentral lists this ribosomal RNA (292 nucleotides) under uncultured soil bacterium. RNAcentral describes it as "partial 16S ribosomal RNA". It matches the Rfam family "Bacterial small subunit ribosomal RNA", at positions 26 to 313 of the family's 1533-position model. The record is from RNAcentral.
AGAGUGAACGCUGGCGGCAGGCCUAAUACAUGCAAGUCGAACGGCAGCACGGCAGAGCUUGCUCUGUGGGUGGCGAGUGGCGGACGGGUGAGGAAUACAUGGGAAUCUGCCCAGUCGUGGGGGAUAAACGUAGGGAAACUUACGCUAAUACCGCAUGCGCCCUUCGGGGGAAAGCCGGGGACCUUCGGGCCUGGCGCGAUUGGAUGAGCCCAUGUCGGAUUAGCUAGUUGGCGGGGUAACGGCCCACCAAGGCGACGAUCCGUAGCUGGUCUGAGAGGAUGAUCAGCCACAC